AUUCCCCAGAGCCAGAUAGCAUCAUUAUUAACAUGCUUAAUACGCCACAUGAGGAAGAAGGCCAGUGCAACCAAGCGGAUGAGAACAAGAAGCCUGCAAGCAAGAGACAGUUCAGACAAGAGGAAGGUUCACAACAUGGCAAUACACCUAUGAAUCUAUAAACAGGGGGAGAAUAAAUGGCAAGAGUACGGUGCCUAGUAAGGCAAAUGAUCAAUCAGAGAGAAGAAUCGAGGAGGCAGAGCAAGAAUUGACGAACCUUUUCCUCCUCAUCUGACGUGAUGCAUUCUGCGGCAAUGGCAAUGGAACAAGGCUUGGAAAGUAGUAAUGAGGAAGCGCGUACACGCCCAUUGUUAUUUGAAUGGUUCCAAUCAACCAACUGGAGUGGAAUCGAAGAGGUGACUGGGGAGGCGCCAAGGAGAGGGGCGCACGAUGUCUCGGUGCUCCAUGCAUGAUUCAGGAGAACAUACUACUGCAUGCAAUCAUCAUUCUCGUUCAUACUGAUGGCUUCCUGAUUGCCUGGUUGCUUACUUAUGUCUUCAUUUUAAGGUCCAUGACGCCGUGCAGUGAAAACUUGGAUUGAAAGAUCCAAGUCAAUCCGGCAACACACGGACACGGUGGGAAGCUUCGUGCAACAAACGUCCAGGCUCGUGGUCAAAGUAUCAAAAUGCAUCGUGCCCGCUACUCCGAGUCCUCGUUGGAAGCUGGCAGCUGGCAGCAUGCACACCCUGCAAUCCAACCUCUGAAUUCCAUGCAUAGACAAAUAUGCGAAAAGGCAUAUUAUGUAAUUAUUUUUUAGUGGGAAAUAUAUAUGUAUAAAAUAGAUUUAUUUUUAAUAAGCUCUACAUGCAAAUCAUGCAAUUUUCUGGAUCUCAUGUUUCUGAUGUCUAUUUAUUUUUUGUUC
Non-coding RNA from Lolium perenne, 901 nucleotides. The record is from RefSeq and is a predicted model, not a curated record. NCBI's taxonomy places the organism in Eukaryota, Viridiplantae, Streptophyta, Magnoliopsida, Poales, Poaceae.